Molecule: long non-coding RNA, 239 nt
Filed under: Musa acuminata (dwarf banana)
Lineage: Eukaryota; Viridiplantae; Streptophyta; Magnoliopsida; Zingiberales; Musaceae
Description: long non-coding RNA (MACU_LNC008613)
Source: RNAcentral
ACGGAUUAUGAAUCGACGACGACGAUCCACUACUGAAUUGCUAAUACAGUGGGCAAACCUACUAACAGAAGAUGCCACUUUGGAGAACUAUGAUGACUUGAAGAUCAAAUUCCCAAAAUUCAUGAAUCGUCAGCCUCGAGGACAAGGCUGAUUUGAAGAGGGCGGGUUUGUUAGGACUCUAGCUAGGAGAGUCCUAAUUGAGAGGGACAUUCAUGUAAAACUAUUAGGACUUUAGCUAG